GAGUUUGAUCAUGGCUCAGAUUGAACGCUGGCGGCAGGCCUAACACAUGCAAGUCGAGCGGUAGAGAGAAGCUUGCUUCUCUUGAGAGCGGCGGACGGGUGAGUAAUGCCUAGGAAUCUGCCUGGUAGUGGGGGAUAACGCUCGGAAACGGACGCUAAUACCGCAUACGUCCUACGGGAGAAAGCAGGGGACCUUCGGGCCUUGCGCUAUCAGAUGAGCCUAGGUCGGAUUAGCUAGUUGGUGAGGUAAUGGCUCACCAAGGCGACGAUCCGUAACUGGUCUGAGAGGAUGAUCAGUCACACUGGAACUGAGACACGGUCCAGACUCCUACGGGAGGCAGCAGUGGGGAAUAUUGGACAAUGGGCGAAAGCCUGAUCCAGCCAUGCCGCGUGUGUGAAGAAGGUCUUCGGAUUGUAAAGCACUUUAAGUUGGGAGGAAGGGCAGUAAUUAAUACUUUGCUGUUUGACGUUACCGACAGAAUAAGCACCGGCUAACUCUGUGCCAG
Molecule: ribosomal RNA, 505 nt
Filed under: uncultured bacterium
Lineage: Bacteria
Description: bacterial SSU rRNA
Rfam family: Bacterial small subunit ribosomal RNA
Source: RNAcentral